GGCCCGUUAGCUCAGUGGUUUGAGUGCGGUGCUGACAACAAUGACUGACACUGAGGUUGCAGGUUCGAUUCCUGCUCGGUCCC
Transfer RNA from Apaloderma vittatum (bar-tailed trogon), 83 nucleotides. It matches the Rfam family "tRNA". From Rfam's summary of the family: Transfer RNA (tRNA) molecules are approximately 80 nucleotides in length. Their secondary structure includes four short double-helical elements and three loops (D, anti-codon, and T loops). NCBI's taxonomy places the organism in Eukaryota, Metazoa, Chordata, Aves, Trogoniformes, Trogonidae. The record is from Rfam.